GACGAACGCUGGCGGCGUGCCUAAUACAUGCAAGUCGAACGAAGCUGUUUUAACUGGUGCUUGCACCGACUUAAACAACUGAGUGGCGAACGGGUGAGUAACACGUGGGUAACCUGCCCCAAAGCGGGGGAUAACAUUUGGAAACAGAUGCUAAUACCGCAUAACCACAGAAACCACAUGGUUUCUGUGUCAAAGAUGGUUUCGGCUAUCACUUUGGGAUGGACCCGCGGCGUAUUAGCUAGUUGGUAAGGUAAUGGCUUACCAAGGCAAUGAUACGUAGCCGAACUGAGAGGUUGAUCGGCCACAUUGGGACUGAGACACGGCCCAAACUCCUACGGGAGGCAGCAGUAGGGAAUCUUCCACAAUGGACGAAAGUCUGAUGGAGCGACGCCGCGUGAGUGAAGAAGGUUUUCGGAUCGUAAAACUCUGUUGUCAGAGAAGAACGUGUGCGAGAGUAACUGUUCGUGCAGUGACGGUAUCUGGCCAGAAAGCCACGGCUAACUACGUGCCAGCAGCCGCCGUAA
Molecule: ribosomal RNA, 524 nt
Filed under: uncultured bacterium
Lineage: Bacteria
Description: partial 16S ribosomal RNA
Rfam family: Bacterial small subunit ribosomal RNA
Source: RNAcentral